This 99-nucleotide transfer RNA is filed under the name Candidatus Helarchaeota archaeon. RNAcentral's name for it is "tRNA-Gln". It matches the Rfam family "tRNA". Rfam says of the family: Transfer RNA (tRNA) molecules are approximately 80 nucleotides in length. Their secondary structure includes four short double-helical elements and three loops (D, anti-codon, and T loops). Lineage: Archaea; Promethearchaeati; Candidatus Helarchaeota. The record is from RNAcentral.
AGCCCUGUGGUGCAGUGGUCAAAUCUUGAGAUAAAAAGAGACUAUACAUAGGGGGCCCUGGACCCCUUGACCCCGGUUCGAAUCCGGGCGGGGCUACCA